This 188-nucleotide ribosomal RNA is filed under the name Actinomyces sp. RNAcentral's name for it is "partial 16S ribosomal RNA". It matches the Rfam family "Bacterial small subunit ribosomal RNA", at positions 337 to 524 of the family's 1533-position model. The record is from RNAcentral. Lineage: Bacteria; Bacillati; Actinomycetota; Actinomycetes; Actinomycetales; Actinomycetaceae.
UCCUACGGGAGGCAGCAGUGGGGAAUAUUGCACAAUGGGCGAAAGCCUGAUGCAGCGACGCCGCGUGAGGGAUGACGGCCUUCGGGUUGUAAACCUCUUUCGCUCAUGGUCAAGCCGCAACAUGUGGUUGUGGUGAGGGUAGUGGGUAAAGAAGCGCCGGCUAACUACGUGCCAGCAGCCGCGGUAAU